GUGCUUGCUUUGGCAGCACAUAUACUAAAAUUGGAACGAUACAGAGAAAAUUAGCAUGGCCCCUGCACAAGGAUGAUACAAAAAUUCGUGAAGCAUUCCAUUUAAAA
Molecule: small nuclear RNA, 107 nt
Organism: Otolemur garnettii (small-eared galago)
Lineage: Eukaryota; Metazoa; Chordata; Mammalia; Primates; Galagidae
Source: Ensembl